UACGAAGGGGGCUAGCGUUGCUCGGAAUCACUGGGCGUAAAGCGCACGUAGGCGGAUUGCUAAGUCAGGGGUGAAAUCCUGGAGCUCAACUCCAGAACUGCCUUUGAUACUGGCGAUCUUGAGUCCGGGAGAGGUGAGUGGAACUGCGAGUGUAGAGGUGAAAUUCGUAGAUAUUCGCAAGAACCCCCGUGGCGAAGGCGGUUCUCUGGGACGGUACUGACGCUGAGACGCGAAAGCGUGGGGAGCGAACAGG
RNAcentral lists this ribosomal RNA (253 nucleotides) under uncultured bacterium. RNAcentral's name for it is "partial 16S ribosomal RNA". It matches the Rfam family "Bacterial small subunit ribosomal RNA", at positions 524 to 776 of the family's 1533-position model. The record is from RNAcentral.